RNAcentral lists this ribosomal RNA (253 nucleotides) under uncultured bacterium. RNAcentral describes it as "partial 16S ribosomal RNA". It matches the Rfam family "Bacterial small subunit ribosomal RNA", at positions 524 to 776 of the family's 1533-position model. The record is from RNAcentral.
UACAGAGGUCUCGAGCGUUGUUCGGAUUCAUUGGGCGUAAAGGGUGCGUAGGUGGCGCCAUAAGUCAGGUGUGAAAUCUCGGGGCUCAACCCCGAAACUGCAUUUGAUACUGUGGUGCUCGAGUACUGGAGAGGAGAUUGGAAUUUACGGUGUAGCAGUGAAAUGCGUAGAUAUCGUAAGGAAGACCAGUGGCGAAGGCGAAUCUCUGGACAGUUACUGACACUGAGGCACGAAGGCCAGGGGAGCAAACGGG